UGGCUCCGUGCCCGUCCACCGAACGGUCGGCGGGCGAUCCGCGUCGGUCUCGCUGGGUGGUAUGGUUCCCCAGAGGCCGGUUCUUGUGCUGCCUACCCCUUCAGGGGAAGCGGGCCGCUCGAUGCAGGCCUCCAUCCCGCGCCCUCCAACGGGCGCAGGAGGACAACGGUGCACCCCCCGCGUUCCACCGAGCCUCCUCGGUCGCGUGGCGCGCGGGGACGUGCGAUGCUCUCGGACCCAGCGAAUGCCGUGGGCGAGGACUCACGUCCCAGUCCCGAUAGAAGCUCCCACAUAAUGCAUGACGGCCGCUCCCGUCCCCGACCGCCCCGGCGGCGCGGGGGCGAGGCGCGGCGUCGCGGAGGAAUGC
RNAcentral lists this unclassified non-coding RNA (367 nucleotides) under Acacia genistifolia. Its description in RNAcentral is "partial external transcribed spacer". Lineage: Eukaryota; Viridiplantae; Streptophyta; Magnoliopsida; Fabales; Fabaceae. The record is from RNAcentral.